RNAcentral lists this non-coding RNA (21 nucleotides) under Caenorhabditis elegans. The record is from RNAcentral. Lineage: Eukaryota; Metazoa; Nematoda; Chromadorea; Rhabditida; Rhabditidae.
UUAGACAGCUGAAAGAAUUAG